UAACUUAGUGGCGGACGGGUGAGUAACGCGUGGGGAACCUGCCCUGCACCGGGGGAUAACACCUGGAAACAGGUGCUAAUACCGCAUAAGCGCACGAGGCCGCAUGGCCAGGUGUGAAAAACUAAGGUGGUGCAGGAUGGACCCGCGUCUGAUUAGCUGGUUGGUAGGGUAACGGCCUACCAAGGCGACGAUCAGUAGCCGGCCUGAGAGGGUGAACGGCCACAUUGGGACUGAGACACGGCCCAAACUCCUACGGGAGGCAGCAG
This 266-nucleotide ribosomal RNA is filed under the name uncultured bacterium. RNAcentral describes it as "partial 16S ribosomal RNA". It matches the Rfam family "Bacterial small subunit ribosomal RNA", at positions 88 to 354 of the family's 1533-position model. The record is from RNAcentral.